AACGAACGCUGGCGGCAUGCCUAACACAUGCAAGUCGAACGAGACCUUCGGGUCUAGUGGCGCACGGGUGCGUAACGCGUGGGAACCUGCACUUAGGUUCGGAAUAACUCCCCGACAGGGGUGCUAAUACCGGAUAAUGUCUUCGGACCAAAGAUUUAUCGCCUUUGGAUGGGCCCGCGUUGGAUUAGCUAGUUGGUAGGGUAAAAGCCUACCAAGGCGACGAUCCAUAGCUGGUCUGAGAGGAUGAUCAGCCACACUGGGACUGAGACACGGCCCAGACUCCUACGGGAGGCAGCAGUGGAGAAUAUUGGACAAUGGGCGAAAGCCUGAUCCAGCAAUGCCGCGUGAGUGAUGAAGGCCUUAGGGUUGUAAAGCUCUUUUACCCGGGAUGAUAAUGACAGUACCGAGAGAAUAAGCUCCGGCUAACUCCGUG
Molecule: ribosomal RNA, 433 nt
Filed under: uncultured bacterium
Lineage: Bacteria
Description: partial 16S ribosomal RNA
Rfam family: Bacterial small subunit ribosomal RNA
Source: RNAcentral